This 433-nucleotide ribosomal RNA is filed under the name uncultured bacterium. Its description in RNAcentral is "partial 16S ribosomal RNA". It matches the Rfam family "Bacterial small subunit ribosomal RNA", at positions 29 to 507 of the family's 1533-position model. The record is from RNAcentral.
AACGAACGCUGGCGGCAUGCCUAACACAUGCAAGUCGAACGAGACCUUCGGGUCUAGUGGCGCACGGGUGCGUAACGCGUGGGAACCUGCCCUUAGGUUCGGAAUAACUCCCCGAAAGGGGUGCUAAUACCGGAUAAUGUCUUCGGACCAAAGAUUUAUCGCCUUUGGAUGGGCCCGCGUUGGAUUAGCUAGUUGGUAGGGUAAAAGCCUACCAAGGCGACGAGCCAUAGCUGGUCUGAGAGGAGGAUCAGCCACACUGGGACUGAGACACGGCCCAGACUCCUACGGGAGGCAGCAGUGGGGAAUAUUGGACAAUGGGCGAAAGCCUGAUCCAGCAAUGCCGCGUGAGUGAUGAAGGCCUUAGGGUUGUAAAGCUCUUUUACCCGGGAUGAUAAUGACAGUACCGGGAGAAUAAGCUCCGGCUAACUCCGUG